UUUCAUCUGUGGGGAAAACUUCUAAGAUCCCAAUGGAUGCCUGAGAUCUAUGACAGCAUCAAGAAGCAAAGGAAGCACUUUCCGUCUUAUCGUUGGGAUUUCUGAACUGCCAGCAUUACUUCACACCGAGGCCAUUAUUCAGUUCAAGCUCCUGGAACAUGAGCACUAAAUAGAUGCUUCAGUCAUCUGAUGACAUCACAAAGUGACUAACGGUGGGCAGCACACACAACCUCAACAUGCUGGAUACAGAAAUACUUCGUGCCUCAUUCUCAACACUAAGGGAUUUUUACCACGCCACUUAGAU
This is a non-coding RNA of Myodes glareolus (Bank vole), 304 nucleotides long. Lineage: Eukaryota; Metazoa; Chordata; Mammalia; Rodentia; Cricetidae. The record is from RefSeq and is a predicted model, not a curated record.